This 959-nucleotide long non-coding RNA is filed under the name Homo sapiens (human). RNAcentral describes it as "HSALNT0339576". The record is from RNAcentral. Lineage: Eukaryota; Metazoa; Chordata; Mammalia; Primates; Hominidae.
AUAGACAUUAGAGACUCUGAAAGGUGGACCGUGGGAGGGGAGUGAGGGAUAAGAAGUAACCUAAUGGGCACAAUGUAUAUUUUUUGGGUGAUGGUUACAUUGAAAGCACAGACUUCACCACCACACAAUAUAUCCAGGUGACAAAGCUGCGCUUGUACCCCAUAAAUCUAUAAAAGUCAUUUUCUUAAAAAGCAUUUUGAAUAAAUUUUGAUAUUUUUGUUACUGCAUUAUUUUUGCCUGAUAAGAAGUAUCUUUAAAACAAAAUAAAGACUUUCUUAUUUCCUCAUCUAACUCUUUAAAAGAAAGGAGAGAAACUAAAAAGUAUUCAUACAUAUGCAAAGUAGGAGAUAUGGUAAAAUAAAAAUUAGAUUGGUAUGAAUAGGAAUUAUGUUUCUUUUUUCAAUGCAGUAAAAGUUGGGAGAAAAUAUAAAAGAAAAUUAAGGGGAAAAUGUUGCUAUGUAUUCAUUUAAUAAUAGAGCUACUGAUUUGCAGUGUUAUAACAAGAACAGAAAAUUUUUGAAAAUUAAUCUACAUGUUUGUAAAUUUUAUAAUGGAUCUUCCUGUUUACCUCCAACAAUGAACAUUUUACUUGAUUUCUCUAUCCUCUUUUUUUUUUUCCUAUGUGACUAUCUCUGUGUAACCUGUGGGUUUACAAACAUUUUCCUUGGUAUUGUAAAGACAAGAGAUAGCAUUGAAAAGAGAAAGCCAGGAAAACAACCUACAGGGACUGUUGAGCUGCCACAUUCACCCGGAAUGUCUUUAUCAUGUCCUCAAACUCAGCUCCCUGUGGACCAAUACAUCAGCCCAGACUUUAAUUUGGUUCGAGUAAUGGUUUCAUCAAUAGCACAUUAAAUCUGUGUUUGAGAAGAUAUACAGGUGAACCUGGCCCACACAGUAGAUACCACUGUCAUAAAAUGGCCACAGGCCGACAACAGCUGGGUAAUUACAAAUAAUUAAAU